ACGCUGGCGGCACGCCUAACACAUGCAAGUCGAACGAAGUAGCAAUACUUAGUGGCAGACGGGUGAGUAACAUGUGGGUAUCUACCCUUUGGCCUGGAAUAACACGAGGAAACUUGUGCUAAUACCGGAUAAGUCUUUACGGAGAAAGCUUUAUGCACCAUUGGAUGAGCCCGCACUUGAUUAGUUUGUUGGUAGGGUAAUGGCCUACCAAGACUAUGAUCAAUAGCUGAUUUGAGAGGAUGAUCAGCCACAUUGGGACUGAGACACGGCCCAAACUCCUACGGGAGGCAGCAGUGGGGAAUCUUGCACAAUGGAGGAAACUCUGAUGCAGCGAUGCCGCGUGAGUGAAGAAGGCCUUUGGGUUGUAAAGCUCUUUCGUCGGGGAAGAAAAUGACUGUACCCGAAUAAGAAGGUCCGGCUAACUUCGUGUCAGCAGCCGCGGUAAUACGAAGGGACCUAGCGUAGUUCGGAAUUACUGGGCUUAAAGAGUUCGUAGGUGGUUGAAAAAGUUGGUGGUGAAAUCCCAGAGCUUAACUCUGGAACUGCCAUCAAAACUUUUCAGCUAGAGUAUGAUAGAGGAAAGCAGAAUUUCUAGUGUAGAGGUGAAAUUCGUAGAUAUUAGAAAGAAUACCAAUUGCGAAGGCAGCUUUCUGGAUCAUUACUGACACUGAGGAACGAAAGCAUGGGUAGCGAAGAGGAUUAGAUACCCUCGUAGUCCAUGCCGUAAACGAUGUGUGUUAGACGUUGGAAAUUUAUUUUCAGUGUCGCAGGGAAACCGAUAAA
RNAcentral lists this ribosomal RNA (783 nucleotides) under uncultured bacterium. Its description in RNAcentral is "bacterial SSU rRNA". It matches the Rfam family "Bacterial small subunit ribosomal RNA", at positions 33 to 864 of the family's 1533-position model. The record is from RNAcentral.